CAGUAGCCGCGGGAAUACGUAGGUGGCAAGCGUUGUCCGGAAUUAUUGGGCGUAAAGGGCUCGCAGGCGGUUUCUUAAGUCUGAUGUGAAAGCCCCCGGCUCAACCGGGGAGGGUCAUUGGAAGCUGGGAAACUUGAGUGCAGAAGAGGAGAGUGGAAUUCCACGUGUAGCGGUGAAAUGCGUAGAGAUGUGGAGGAACACCAGUGGCGAAGGCGACUCUCCGGUCUGUAACUGACGCUGAGGAGCGAAAGCGUGGGGAGCGAACAGGAUUAGAUACCCCUGUAGUCCCUGUCUCUUAUAC
Molecule: ribosomal RNA, 301 nt
Filed under: uncultured bacterium
Lineage: Bacteria
Description: partial 16S ribosomal RNA
Rfam family: Bacterial small subunit ribosomal RNA
Source: RNAcentral